Non-coding RNA from Bombyx mori (domestic silkworm), 88 nucleotides. The record is from RefSeq and is marked provisional. NCBI's taxonomy places the organism in Eukaryota, Metazoa, Arthropoda, Insecta, Lepidoptera, Bombycidae.
GCGGUGGCCACGCUUAGGACGCGAUUAGGUGUAAACGUUUGUGUUUCAUAUCAAAUUGCACCAAUCCCGGCCUGCCUGUGGCCACAGC